GAUGAACGCUGGCGGCGUGCUUAACACAUGCAAGUCGAACGGACAGGCCCUGCUUUUGCUCGUUGCUCGAGUGGCGAACGGGUGUGUAUCACGCGAGUAUCCUCUCCUUGACAUUGGGAUAUCUUCACGAAACUCCGGCUAUUACCGGAUAUGAGCUCCUGCUCCGUGUGGGUGGUUGGAAAGUUUCGGCGGUAGGGGAUAGACUCGCGGGUUAUCAGCUGGUUUGUGGGGUAGUGGCUUACGAAGGCUUCGACGGCUAGCCGGCCUGAGAGGGUGACCGGGCACAAGGGGACUAAGAGACGGACCAGACGCCUACGGGAGGCAGCAGUGGGGAGUAUUGCACAAUGGGCGGAAGCCUGAUGCAGAAACGCCGCGUGCGGGAUGACGGCCUUCGGGUUAUAAACCGCUUUCGCCUGUGACGAAGCGUGAGUGACGGUAAUGGGUAAGAAAGCACCGGCUAACUACGUG
Molecule: ribosomal RNA, 468 nt
Filed under: uncultured bacterium
Lineage: Bacteria
Description: partial 16S ribosomal RNA
Rfam family: Bacterial small subunit ribosomal RNA
Source: RNAcentral